Molecule: ribosomal RNA, 497 nt
Filed under: uncultured bacterium
Lineage: Bacteria
Description: partial 16S ribosomal RNA
Rfam family: Bacterial small subunit ribosomal RNA
Source: RNAcentral
GAUGAACGCUGGCGGCGUGCCUAGUACAUGCAAGUCGAGCGAACGGACGAGAAGCUUGCUUCUCUGAUGUUAGCGGCGGACGGGUGAGUAACACGUGGAUAACCUACCUAUAAGACUGGGAUAACUUCGGGAAACCGGAGCUAAUACCGGAUAAUAUUUUGAACCGCAUGGUUCAAGAGUGAAAGACGGUCUUGCUGUCACUUAUAGAUGGAUCCGCGCUGCAUUAGCUAGUUGGUAAGGUAACGGCUUACCAAGGCAACGAUGCAUAGCCGACCUGAGAGGGUGAUCGGCCACACUGGAACUGAGACACGGUCCAGACUCCUACGGGAGGCAGCAGUAGGGAAUCUUCCGCAAUGGGCGAAAGCCUGACGGAGCAACGCCGCGUGAGUGAUGAAGGUCUUCGGAUCGUAAAACUCUGUUAUUAGGGAAGAACAUAUGUGUAAGUAACUGUGCACAUCUUGACGGUACCUAAUCAGAAAGCCACGGCUAACUACGUG